This 146-nucleotide ribosomal RNA is filed under the name Salmonella enterica. RNAcentral's name for it is "partial 23S ribosomal RNA". It matches the Rfam family "Bacterial large subunit ribosomal RNA", at positions 2797 to 2925 of the family's 2925-position model. The record is from RNAcentral. RNAcentral also lists the same sequence under 4 other names. Lineage: Bacteria; Pseudomonadati; Pseudomonadota; Gammaproteobacteria; Enterobacterales; Enterobacteriaceae.
CCCCGAGAUGAGUUCUCCCUGAGACUUUAGGUCUCCUGAAGGAACGUUGAAGACGACGACGUUGAUAGGCCGGGUGUGUAAGCGCAGCGAUGCGUUGAGCUAACCGGUACUAAUGAACCGUGAGGCUUAACCUUACAACGCCGAAG